UGGUGGAUGUAAGGAAGGUGCUCUGUUCUGAAGAUGCUUUCAGCUGUGGACAGGGGAGGUGAGAGGGGGAUGUGAGGGACAAGGUUUUUUACAGAGAGAGUGGUGGAUGUGAGGAAGGUGCUCUGUUCUGAAGAUGUUUUCAGCUGUGGACAGGGGAGGUGAGAGGGGGAUGUGAGGGGCAAGGUUUUUUACAGAGAGUGGUGGGUGUGAGGAAGGUGCUCUGUUCUGAAGAAGUUUUCAGCUGUGGACAGGGGAGGUGAGAGGGGGAUGUGAGGGGCAAGGUUUUUUACUGAGAGAGUGGUGGAUGUGAGGAAGGUGCUCUGUUCUGAAGAAGUUUUCAGCUGUGGACAGGGGAGGUGAGAGGGGGAUGUGAGGGGCAAGGUUUUUUACAGAGAGUGGUGGAUGUGAGGAAGGUGCUCCGUUCUGAAGAUGCUUUCAGCUGUGGACAGGGGAGGUGAGAGGGUGAUGUGAGGGACAAGGUUUUUUACAGAGAGAGUGGUGGAUGUGAGGAAGGUGCUCUGUUCUGAAGAUGUUUUCAGCUGUGGACAGGGGAGGUGAGAGGGGGAUGUGAGGGGCAAGGUUUUUUACUGAGAGAGUGGUGGAUGUGAGGAAGGUGCUCUGUUCUGAAGAAGUUUUCAGCUGUGGACAGGGGAGGUGAGAGGGGGAUGUGAGGGGCAAGGUUUUUUACAGAGAGUGGUGGAUGUGAGGAAGGUGCUCUGUUCUGAAGAAGUUUUCAGCUGUGGACAGGGGAGGUGAGAGGGGGAUGUGAGGGGCAAGGUUUUUUACAGAGAGUGGUGGAUGUGAGGAAGGUGCUCUGUUCUGAAGAUGCUUUCAGCUGUGGACAGGGGAGGUGAGAGGGGGAUGUGAGGGGCAAGGUUUUUUACUGAGAGAGUGGUGGAUGUGAGGAAGGUGCUCUGUACUGAAGAUGUUUUCAGCUGUGGACAGGGGAGGUGAGAGGGGGAUGUGAGGGGCAAGGUUUUUUACAGAGAGUGGUGGAUGUGAGGAAGGUGCUCUGUUCUGAAGAUGCUUUCAGCUGUGGACAGGGGAGGUGAGAGGGGGAUGUGAGGGACAAGGUUUUUUACAGAGAGUGGUGGAUGUGAGGAAGGUGCUCUGUUCUGAAGAUGCUUUCAGCUGUGGACAGGGGAGGUGAGAGGGGGAUGUGAGGGGCAAGGUUUUUUACUGAGAGAGUGGUGGAUGUGAGGAAGGUGCUCUGUACUGAAGAUGUUUUCAGCUGUGGACAGGGGAGGUGAGAGGGGGAUGUGAGGGGCAAGGUUUUUUACAGAGAGUGGUGGAUGUGAGGAAGGUGCUCUGUUCUGAAGAAGUUUUCAGCUGUGGACAGGGGAGGUGAGAGGGGGAUGUGAGGGGCAAGGUUUUUUACAGAGAGUGGUGGAUGUGAGGAAGGUGCUCUGUUCUGAAGAAGUUUUCAGCUGUGGACAGGGGAGGUGAGAGGGGGAUGUGAGGGGCAAGGUUUUUUACAGAGAGUGGUGGAUGUGAGGAUGGUGCUCUGUUCUGAAGAUGCUUUCAGCUGUGGACAGGGGAGGUGAGAGGGGGAUGUGAGGGGCAAGGUUUUUUACUGAGAGAGUGGUGGAUGUGAGGAAGGUGCUCUGUUCUGAAGAUGCUUUCAGCUGUGGACAGGGGAGGUGAGAGGGGGAUGUGAGGGGCAAGGUUUUUUACAGAGAGUGGUGGAUGUGAGGAAGGUGCUCUGUUCUGAAGAUGCUUUCAGCUGUGGACAGGGGAGGUGAGAGGGGGAUGUGAGGGGCAAGGUUUUUUACAGAGAGUGGUGGAUGUGAGGAAGGUGCUCUGUACUGAAGAUGUUUUCAGCUGUGGACAGGGGAGGUGAGAGGGGGAUGUGAGGGGCAAGGUUUUUUACUGAGAGAGUGGUGGAUAUGAGGAAGGUGCUCUGUUCUGAAGAUGUUUUCAGCUGUGGACAGGGGAGGUGAGAGGGGGAUGUGAGGGGCAAGGUUUUUUACAGAGAGUGGUGGAUGUGAGGAAGGUGCUCUGUUCUGAAGAUGCUUUCAGCUGUGGACAGGGGAGGUGAGAGGGGGAUGUGAGGGACAAGGUUUUUUACAGAGAGUGGUGGAUGUGAGGAAGGUGCUCUGUUCUGAAGAAGUUUUCAGCUGUGGACAGGGGAGGUGAGAGGGGGAUGUGAGGGGCAAGGUUUUUUACUGAGAGAGUGGUGGAUGUGAGGAAGGUGCUCUGUUCUGAAGAAGUUUUCAGCUGUGGACAGGGGAGGUGAGAGGGGGAUGUGAGGGGCAAGGUUUUUUACUGAGAGAGUGGUGGAUGUGAGGAAGGUGCUCUGUUCUGAAGAAGUUUUCAGCUGUGGACAGGGGAGGUGAGAGGGUGAUGUGAGGGGCAAGGUUUUUUACAGAGAGUGGUGGAUGUGAGGAAGGUGCUCUGUUCUGAAGAAGUUUUCAGCUGUGGACAGGGGAGGUGAGAGGGGGAUGUGAGGGGCAAGGUUUUUUACAGAGAGUGGUGGAUGUGAGGAAGGUGCUCUGUUCUGAAGAAGUUUUCAGCUGUGGACAGGGGAGGUGAGAGGGGGAUGUGAGGGGCAAGGUUUUUUACAGAGAGUGGUGGAUGUGAGGAAGGUGCUCUGUUCUGAAGAUGCUUUCAGCUGUGGACAGGGGAGGUGAGAGGGGGAUGUGAGGGGCAAGGUUUUUUACUGAGAGAGUGGUGGAUGUGAGGAAGGUGCUCUGUUCUGAAGAAGUUUUCAGCUGUGGACAGGGGAGGUGAGAGGGGGAUGUGAGGGGUAAGGUUUUUUACAGAGAGUGGUGGAUGUGAGGAAGGUGCUCUGUUCUGAAGAUGCUUUCAGCUGUGGACAGGGGAGGUGAGAGGGGGAUGUGAGGGGCAAGGUUUUUUACUGAGAGAGUGGUGGAUGUGAGGAAGGUGCUCUGUUCUGAAGAUGUUUUCAGCUGUGGACAGGGGAGGUGAGAGGGGGAUGUGAGGGGCAAGGUUUUUUACAGAGAGUGGUGGAUGUGAGGAAGGUGCUCUGUUCUGAAGAUGCUUUCAGCUGUGGACAGGGGAGGUGAGAGGGGGAUGUGAGGGGCAAGGUUUUUUACAGAGAGUGGUGGAUGUGAGGAAGGUGCUCUGUUCUGAAGAUGUUUUCAGCUGUGGACAGGGGAGGUGAGAGGGGGAUGUGAGGGGCAAGGUUUUUUACAGAGAGUGGUGGAUGUGAGGAAGGUGCUCUGUUCUGAAGAAGUUUUCAGCUGUGGACAGGGGAGGUGAGAGGGGGAUGUGAGGGGCAAGGUUUUUUACAGAGAGUGGUGGAUGUGAGGAAGGUGCUCUGUUCUGAAGAUGCUUUCAGCUGUGGACAGGGGAGGUGAGAGGGGGAUGUGAGGGGCAAGGUUUUUUACAGAGAGAGUGGUGGAUGUGAGGAAGGUGCUCUGUUCUGAAGAUGCUUUCAGCUGUGGACAGGGGAGGUGAGAGGGGGAUGUGAGGGGCAAGGUUUUUUACAGAGAGUGGUGGAUGUGAGGAAGGUGCUCUGUUCUGAAGAUGUUUUCAGCUGUGGACAGGGGAGGUGAGAGGGGGAUGUGAGGGGCAAGGUUUUUUACAGAGAGUGGUGGAUGUGAGGAAUGUGCUCUGUUCUGAAGAUGUUUUCAGCUGUGGACAGGGGAGGUGAGAGGGGGAUGUGAGGGGUAAGGUUUUUUACAGAGAGUGGUGGAUGUGAGGAAGGUGCUCUGUUCUGAAGAUGCUUUCAGCUGUGGACAGGGGAGGUGAGAGGGGGGAUGUGAGGGGCAAGGUUUUUUACAGAGAGUGGUGGAUGUGAGGAAGGUGCUCUGUUCUGAAAAUGUUUUCAGCUGUGGACAGGGGAGGUGAGAGGGGGAUGUGAGGGGUAAGGUUUUUUACUGAGAGAGUGGUGGAUGUGAGGAAGGUGCUCUGUUCUGAAGAAGUUUUCAGCUGUGGACAGGGGAGGUGAGAGGGGGAUGUGAGGGACAAGGUUUUUUACAGAGAGUGGUGGAUGUGAGGAAGGUGCUCUGUUCUGAAGAUGCUUUCAGCUGUGGACAGGGGAGGUGAGAGGGGGAUGUGAGGGACAAGGUUUUUUACAGAGAGAGUGGUGGAUGUGAGGAAGGUGCUCUGUUCUGAAGAAGUUUUCAGCUGUGGACAGGGGAGGUGAGAGGGGGAUGUGAGGGACAAGGUUUUUUACAGAGAGUGGUGGAUGUGAGGAAGGUGCUCUGUUCUGAAGAAGUUUUCAGCUGUGGACAGGGGAGGUGAGAGGGGGAUGUGAGGGGCAAGGUUUUUUACAGAGAGUGGUGGAUGUGAGGAAGCUGCUCUGUUCUGAAGAAGUUUUCAGCUGUGGACAGGGGAGGUGAGAGGGGGGAUGUGAGGGGCAAGGUUUUUUACUGAGAGAGUGGUGGAUGUGAGGAAGGUGCUCUGUUCUGAAGAAGUUUUCAGCUGUGGACAGGGGAGGUGAGAGGGGGAUGUGAGGGACAAGGUUUUUUACUGAGAGAGUGGUGGAUGUGAGGAAGGUGCUCUGUUCUGAAGAAGUUUUCAGCUGUGGACAGGGGAGGUGAGAGGGGGAUGUGAGGGGCAAGGUUUUUUUACAGAGAGUGGUGGAUGUGAGGAAGGUGCUCUGUUCUGAAGAAGUUUUCAGCUGUGGACAGGGGAGGUGAGAGGGGGAUGUGAGGGGCAAGGUUUUUUACAGAGAGUGGUGGAUGUGAGGAAGGUGCUCUGUUCUGAAGAAGUUUUCAGCUGUGGACAGGGGAGGUGAGAGGGGGAUGUGAGGGCAAGGUUUUUUACAGAGAGUGGUGGAUGUGAGGAAGGUGCUCUGUUCUGAAGAUGCUUUCAGCUGUGGACAGGGGAGGUGAGAGGGGGAUGUGAGGGCAAGGUUUUUUACAGAGAGUGGUGGAUGUGAGGAAGGUGCUCUGUUCUGAAGAAGUUUUCAGCUGUGGACAGGGGAGGUGAGAGGGGGAUGUGAGGGCAAGGUUUUUUACAGAGAGUGGUGGAUGUGAGGAAGGUGCUCUGUUCUGAAGAAGUUUUCAGCUGUGGACAGGGGAGGUGAGAGGGGGAUGUGAGGGGCAAGGUUUUUUACUGAGAGAGUGGUGGAUGUGAGGAAGGUGCUCUGUUCUGAAGAAGUUUUCAGCUGUGGACAGGGGAGGUGAGAGGGGGAUGUGAGGGGCAAGGUUUUUUACAGAGAGUGGUGGAUGUGAGGAAGGUGCUCUGUUCUGAAGAAGUUUUCAGCUGUGGACAGGGGAGGUGAGAGGGGGAUGUGAGGGGUACGGUUUUUUACAGAGAGUGGUGGAUGUGAGGAAGGUGCUCUGUUCUGAAGAUGUUUUCAGCUGUGGACAGGGGAGGUGAGAGGGGGAUGUGAGGGGCAAGGUUUUUUACAGAGAGUGGUGGAUGUGAGGAAGGUGCUCUGUUCUGAAGAAGUUUUCAGCUGUGGACAGGGGAGGUGAGAGGGGGAUGUGAGGGGCAAGGUUUUUUACAGAGAGUGGUGGAUGUGAGGAAGGUGCUCUGUUCUGAAGAAGUUUUCAGCUGUGGACAGGGGAGGUGAGAGGGGGAUGUGAGGGACAAGGUUUUUUACAGAGAGUGGUGGAUGUGAGGAAGGUGCUCUGUUCUGAAGAUGUUUUCAGCUGUGGACAGGGGAGGUGAGAGGGGGAUGUGAGGGGCAAGGUUUUUUACAGAGAGUGGUGGAUGUGAGGAAGGUGCUCUGUUCUGAAGAUGCUUUCAGCUGUGGACAGGGGAGGUGAGAGGGGGAUGUGAGGGGCAAGGUUUUUUACAGAGAGUGGUGGAUGUGAGGAAGGUGCUCUGUUCUGAAGAUGCUUUCAGCUGUGGACAGGGGAGGUGAGAGGGGGAUGUGAGGGGCAAGGUUUUUUACUGAGAGAGUGGUGGAUGUGAGGAAGGUGCUCUGUUCUGAAGAAGUUUUCAGCUGUGGACAGGGGAGGUGAGAGGGGGAUGUGAGGGGCAAGGUUUUUUACAGAGAGUGGUGGAUGUGAGGAAGGUGCUCUGUUCUGAAGAAGUUUUCAGCUGUGGACAGGGGAGGUGAGAGGGGGAUGUGAGGGGCAAGGUUUUUUACAGAGAGAGUGGUGGAUGUGAGGAAGGUGCUCUGUUCUGAAGAAGUUUUCACCUGUGGACAGGGGAGGUGAGAGGGGGAUGUGAGGGGCAAGGUUUUUUACUGAGAGAGUGGUGGAUGUGAGGAAGGUGCUCUGUUCUGAAGAUGCUUUCAGCUGUGGACAGGGGAGGUGAGAGGGGGAUGUGAGGGGCAAGGUUUUUUACUGAGAGAGUGGUGGAUGUGAGGGAGGUGCUCUGUUCUGAAGAAGUUUUCAGCUGUGGACAGGGGAGGUGAGAGGGGGAUGUGAGGGGUAAGGUUUUUUACAGAGAGAGUGGUGGAUGUGAGGAAGGUGCUCUGUUCUGAAGAAGUUUUCAGCUGUGGACAGGGGAGGUGACAGGGGGAUGUGAGGGGUAAGGUUUUUUACUGAGAGAGUGGUGGAUGUGAGGGAGGUGCUCUGUUCUGAAGAAGUUUUCAGCUGUGGACAGGGGAGGUGAGAGGGGGAUGUGAGGGGCAAGGUUUUUUACUGAGAGAGUGGUGGAUGUGAGGAAGGUGCUCUGUUCUGAAGAAGUUUUCAGCUGUGGACAGGGGAGGUGAGAGGGGGAUGUGAGGGGCAAGGUUUUUUACUGAGAGAGUGGUGGAUGUGAGGAAGGUGCUCUGUUCUGAAGAAGUUUUCAGCUGUGGACAGGGGAGGUGAGAGGGGGAUGUGAGGGACAAGGUUUUUUACAGAGAGAGUGGUGGAUGUGAGGAAGGUGCUCUGUUCUGAAGAUGCUUUCAGCUGUGGACAGGGGAGGUGAGAGGGGGAUGUGAGGGGCAAGGUUUUUUACAGAGAGUGGUGGAUGUGAGGAAGGUGCUCUGUUCUGAAGAAGUUUUCAGCUGUGGACAGGGGAGGUGACAGGGGGAUGUGAGGGGCAAGGUUUUUUACAGAGAGAGUGGUGGAUGUGAGGAAGGUGCUCUGUUCUGAAGAAGUUUUCAGCUGUGGACAGGGGAGGUGAGAGGGGGAUGUGAGGGGCAAGGUUUUUUACU
Molecule: long non-coding RNA, 7009 nt
Organism: Hypanus sabinus (Atlantic stingray)
Lineage: Eukaryota; Metazoa; Chordata; Chondrichthyes; Myliobatiformes; Dasyatidae
Exons: 3
Source: RefSeq, a predicted model, not a curated record